This 2048-nucleotide ribosomal RNA is filed under the name Salmonella enterica. RNAcentral's name for it is "partial 23S ribosomal RNA". It matches the Rfam family "Bacterial large subunit ribosomal RNA", at positions 774 to 2802 of the family's 2925-position model. Lineage: Bacteria; Pseudomonadati; Pseudomonadota; Gammaproteobacteria; Enterobacterales; Enterobacteriaceae. The record is from RNAcentral.
CCGAACCGACUAAUGUUGAAAAAUUAGCGGAUGACCUGUGGCUGGGGGUGAAAGGCCAAUCAAACCGGGAGAUAGCUGGUUCUCCCCGAAAGCUAUUUAGGUAGCGCCUCGUGAAUUCAUCUCCGGGGGUAGAGCACUGUUUCGGCUAGGGGGCCAUCCCGGCUUACCAACCCGAUGCAAACUGCGAAUACCGGAGAAUGUUAUCACGGGAGACACACGGCGGGUGCUAACGUCCGUCGUGAAGAGGGAAACAACCCAGACCGCCAGCUAAGGUCCCAAAGUCAUGGUUAAGUGGGAAACGAUGUGGGAAGGCCCAGACAGCCAGGAUGUUGGCUUAGAAGCAGCCAUCAUUUAAAGAAAGCGUAAUAGCUCACUGGUCGAGUCGGCCUGCGCGGAAGAUGUAACGGGGCUAAACCAUGCACCGAAGCUGCGGCAGCGACGCUGAUGCGUUGUUGGGUAGGGGAGCGUUCUGUAAGCCUGCGAAGGUGGCCUGUGAGGGUUGCUGGAGGUAUCAGAAGUGCGAAUGCUGACAUAAGUAACGAUAAAGCGGGUGAAAAGCCCGCUCGCCGGAAGACCAAGGGUUCCUGUCCAACGUUAAUCGGGGCAGGGUGAGUCGACCCCUAAGGCGAGGCCGAAAGGCGUAGUCGAUGGGAAACGGGUUAAUAUUCCCGUACUUGGUGUUACUGCGAAGGGGGGACGGAGAAGGCUAUGUUGGCCGGGCGACGGUUGUCCCGGUUUAAGCGUGUAGGUGUGUGUUCCAGGUAAAUCCGGUUCACUUUAACACUGAGGCGUGAUGACGAGGCACUACGGUGCUGAAGCAACAAAUGCCCUGCUUCCAGGAAAAGCCUCUAAGCAUCAGGUAACAUCAAAUCGUACCCCAAACCGACACAGGUGGUCAGGUAGAGAAUACCAAGGCGCUUGAGAGAACUCGGGUGAAGGAACUAGGCAAAAUGGUGCCGUAACUUCGGGAGAAGGCACGCUGACACGUAGGUGAAGUGAUUUACUCAUGGAGCUGAAGUCAGUCGAAGAUACCAGCUGGCUGCAACUGUUUAUUAAAAACACAGCACUGUGCAAACACGAAAGUGGACGUAUACGGUGUGACGCCUGCCCGGUGCCGGAAGGUUAAUUGAUGGGGUCAGCGCAAGCGAAGCUCCUGAUCGAAGCCCCGGUAAACGGCGGCCGUAACUAUAACGGUCCUAAGGUAGCGAAAUUCCUUGUCGGGUAAGUUCCGACCUGCACGAAUGGCGUAAUGAUGGCCAGGCUGUCUCCACCCGAGACUCAGUGAAAUUGAACUCGCUGUGAAGAUGCAGUGUACCCGCGGCAAGACGGAAAGACCCCGUGAACCUUUACUAUAGCUUGACACUGAACAUUGAGCCUUGAUGUGUAGGAUAGGUGGGAGGCUUUGAAGUGUGGACGCCAGUCUGCAUGGAGCCGACCUUGAAAUACCACCCUUUAAUGUUUGAUGUUCUAACGUGGACCCGUGAUCCGGGUUGCGGACAGUGUCUGGUGGGUAGUUUGACUGGGGCGGUCUCCUCCUAAAGAGUAACGGAGGAGCACGAAGGUUGGCUAAUCCUGGUCGGACAUCAGGAGGUUAGUGCAAUGGCAUAAGCCAGCUUGACUGCGAGCGUGACGGCGCGAGCAGGUGCGAAAGCAGGUCAUAGUGAUCCGGUGGUUCUGAAUGGAAGGGCCAUCGCUCAACGGAUAAAAGGUACUCCGGGGAUAACAGGCUGAUACCGCCCAAGAGUUCAUAUCGACGGCGGUGUUUGGCACCUCGAUGUCGGCUCAUCACAUCCUGGGGCUGAAGUAGGUCCCAAGGGUAUGGCUGUUCGCCAUUUAAAGUGGUACGCGAGCUGGGUUUAGAACGUCGUGAGACAGUUCGGUCCCUAUCUGCCGUGGGCGCUGGAGAACUGAGGGGGGCUGCUCCUAGUACGAGAGGACCGGAGUGGACGCAUCACUGGUGUUCGGGUUGUCAUGCCAAUGGCACUGCCCGGUAGCUAAAUGCGGAAGAGAUAAGUGCUGAAAGCAUCUAAGCACGAAACUUGCCCCGA